UUGUGCACACAGUAGUUAUUUUCUUCUCUUAGUACUAGAUUAGAGUGGCCGUGUUUAUGGAAUAGAUGUAAAUUGCCAUGAUAUGAAGAGAGAGCGCUUUUCAGUGUCAUCUCUCUCUAGGAAGUGGCUGGACACACCACC
Molecule: small nucleolar RNA, 141 nt
Organism: Acomys russatus (golden spiny mouse)
Lineage: Eukaryota; Metazoa; Chordata; Mammalia; Rodentia; Muridae
Product: small nucleolar RNA SNORA29
Exons: 1
Source: RefSeq, a predicted model, not a curated record